This 413-nucleotide ribosomal RNA is filed under the name uncultured bacterium. Its description in RNAcentral is "bacterial SSU rRNA". It matches the Rfam family "Bacterial small subunit ribosomal RNA", at positions 29 to 426 of the family's 1533-position model. The record is from RNAcentral.
AACGAACGCUGGCGGCGUGUCUUAAGCAUGCAAGUCGAGCGGCAAGGAAGUGCUUGCACUUCCCUAGAGCGGCGGACUGGUGAGUAACGCGUGGGUGAUCUACCUCGGGGUUGGGGAUAGCCAUUAGAAAUAGUGGGUAAUACCGAAUACGCUUCCAGGGCUACGGCCUUGGAAGGAAAGGCGCUACGGCGCCGACCUGAGAUGAGCCCGCGUCCCACUUAGCUAGUUGGUGAGGUAACGGCCCACCCAAGGCGAUGAUGGGUAGGCGGCCUGAGAGGGUGUACGCCCACAUUGGGACUGAGAUACGGCCCAAACUCCUACGGGUGGCAGCAGCUAAGAAUAUUCCGCCAAUGGACGAAAGUACUGACGGAGCGACGCCGCCGUGGAGUGAUGAAGGACCGGAACGGGUUAGG